UAUCCCACCUAACGCCCUGCAUCUUCUCAAGGGUGCUAGCACCACCCUGUAUCCAAAAAUCAGAUCACAAAAAUGCCCUCCCGCAUCUCUCUCUCUCUAGAUUUCUGGGACACCGGACGACUCCUUUUCUUUUUAAUAUCUGAAAUGGAAACUAACUACUGGGCAAUUGAAACUAGAGAGAAAGUGGGAUGAACUGACCUGUGAGAGAGGCUGAACUUACCCAUCUUGUAAGGAGAAAACAGAGAGGUCCCUUUUUCAGCCGUUGUCCUUCCUUUCUUCCCCUAUCUCUCUCUCUCUCUCUCUCUCUCUGUCAGCGGCUGUAGUUUUUCUCUCCCUCUUUCUCGGUCUCCGUUUCUACAAAAGGAUUGAUUCCAUCCCUACGAUUAAGUUUUUACAGAUAUAUGAUGGUAAUAGAUGCUGUUUUCGGGUAUAUGGGGGUGUGCUUUAGAGAAAUCUUGACUAACAACGAAUGUUCUUUGCUGUUUUAUCAGCAAUGAGUGGUGAUGGAUUAACAUGUUUUGUUCUUGUUUUUAUUUUUAUUUAGAUCCUCAUUUAAAAAUUUAAAUAAGGCUGAGUGAUAACACCAUAUCUUUUAAGUUUAGUUAAGUGUGGAUCCUAAAUAUAUACAAGUCUAGUGAAUUAUCAAAUUCAACAUCUUUCGGUUUAGCCAAAUAUUGAGACCAUAUACAUAUAGACAUGUUUUUUCUUUGAUAAAGUCAUACAUAUUUUUCCUUUGAUAAGUCAAAGAUGUUUUUCUCUUUAACAAGUCAGAGAUAUUUUUUGUUUUUUGACACAUUAGAGGAUUGAAUGUUAUCAACCAAAAAGAACCUUUUAGUCCUUCCCUCGAUAAAAAAAAAAAAAAAAAAGAGAUAAGAAGCAUGGGC
Long non-coding RNA from Populus euphratica (Euphrates poplar), 884 nucleotides. RefSeq lists it as uncharacterized. The record is from RefSeq and is a predicted model, not a curated record. The transcript has 2 exons. NCBI's taxonomy places the organism in Eukaryota, Viridiplantae, Streptophyta, Magnoliopsida, Malpighiales, Salicaceae.